Non-coding RNA from Potamilus streckersoni, 74 nucleotides. Lineage: Eukaryota; Metazoa; Mollusca; Bivalvia; Unionida; Unionidae. The record is from the annotation of a GenBank genome assembly.
GCUCCAGUGGCCUAUGUGGUUAGAGCUUCCACUUCAGAUGCAGGAGGUCAUGGGUUCAAUCCCUAGCUGAGUCA